UGCUUCUAUGGUGAGGUCAGUAAAAUGGCCUCUUUAGUGAGGUCAAUUGAAUUGCCCAAUAAAAUUUUAAGUGAUGCCACAUCAGCUUUACAUUGUAAUGAAGCUGCUGUUGUGAAGUCAACUAUGAUUUCUCUACUGAGAAAACGCAUGGUCUGAUAUUCUCAGUAUAGAAAGGAAACAACGGAGAAAACAAUUGACAAGUUUGAAGUUGAAGGGCUUAGCAUAGGAAAUUGUUGCAUAGGAAAUAGUUGCCUGUAAAAUUGAGAUAAGCUCAACUAGUUUAUACAACAAUGAUCUAUAUUUAAGCUGAGUAAUAAUGUAAAGCAUUGUGUUACAAUUCAAGGUUAUACAAUGUACCUUAAAGCUUUGUAAUUUGAGUUAUACAAUGAUAUCGUAGAUAAUGCCUUGUAAUAGAGUUCAAUUUUACAUGCACGAUCUUAACAAAUGUAUACAUUCAUAUUUAUAUACAAUGAUAAAUUUGUGAUUGAUUGCUUUUUA
Molecule: long non-coding RNA, 498 nt
Organism: Trifolium pratense (red clover)
Lineage: Eukaryota; Viridiplantae; Streptophyta; Magnoliopsida; Fabales; Fabaceae
Exons: 2
Source: RefSeq, a predicted model, not a curated record